RNAcentral lists this ribosomal RNA (205 nucleotides) under uncultured bacterium. RNAcentral describes it as "partial 16S ribosomal RNA". It matches the Rfam family "Bacterial small subunit ribosomal RNA", at positions 568 to 774 of the family's 1533-position model. The record is from RNAcentral.
CGCGUAGGCGGGAUGGCAAGUCAGUCGUGAAAUCUCUCGGCUCAACCGAGAAACGUCGGCUGAUACUGCCGUUCUUGAGGGAUGCAGAGGAGACUGGAAUUCCCGGUGUAGCGGUGAAAUGUGUAGAGAUCGGGAGGAACACCGGUGGCGAAGGCGGGUCUCUGGGCAUCUCCUGACGCUGAGGCGCAAAGCGUGGGAGCAAACG